Panicum virgatum (switchgrass) is the source of this 299-nucleotide long non-coding RNA. RefSeq lists it as uncharacterized. The record is from RefSeq and is a predicted model, not a curated record. Lineage: Eukaryota; Viridiplantae; Streptophyta; Magnoliopsida; Poales; Poaceae. The transcript is spliced from 2 exons.
CGCUCGCCUCGCCGGUUUUCCUCCUCUAGGCUGCCGCGGCGGCCACCCCCGCCCGCCUCCCUCGUGCGCCGCUCCCUUCCCUUGGCAUUUACUCCUCUCGCUCCUCGCGCUCGCAGGGAGAGUCCGCGGCGGAAGCGAACCCAAAAGACCCGCCUCUGGAGGACGAGGAGCCGGCCACCCUUUGCUUGCGAGCUUUGCUAGCUGACCCGCGUGGUCGGUGCUGGUACUAGGUUCAUAACUACUUCUUGUUAGGUUUUCCUAGCCUGGACCCUGGAAUGAUGGCUCUAGUUUCUAUAUGA